Non-coding RNA from Mus caroli (Ryukyu mouse), 2173 nucleotides. The record is from RefSeq and is a predicted model, not a curated record. Lineage: Eukaryota; Metazoa; Chordata; Mammalia; Rodentia; Muridae.
GAAAAGUGGCCGGGCGCGGCGGCGGGAUGCGGCGCAGCUAACGGUCCCGGGCGGCCGCCGGAGCCGCUAGGCGCAGAGGCAGCAUGGAAGGGGAAUAAACUGGACUGAUCUUCCUGUCCACCCUCCACGACUAACAAGGACUCUGGUGAUCUCGCAGGGUUUUCCUUGGACCACAACAAAAUCUGCCUUCUAGAGCUGUGAAUAUGAAAUAAAGUGUGGAGAGCAAAGAGGAUGCUCUGUGAAUGGUAGUGUGCACCUCCCAGUACUGUCAGCCACCCCCACGAAUGGGGGACAGUGAAGCACCAAGAGGCUAGAUCCUUGCACAGACGACAUAGUUCACAAAGUGGAACCAGCUUUUCUGACUCUGAAGAACAUGUUGGCUAGAUCCUUGCACAGACGACAUAGUUCACAAAGUGGAACCAGCUUUUCUGACUCUGAAGAACAUGUUCUCCAUUCUGUAAUAACAUCUGUGGAGGUGUUCCUUUCAGUGUGACAAGUCAGGGAUGGCUUCCCAGUCAUUGGACUGUGGACCUGAAGACAUCCCAAAGCACGUGGACAUCUCUCUGCUCCAAAUCGGUUAAACACUGCUUGUCUGGAGACAAGGACUGGAGUGGAGUGUUUCAAUAUUGGCUUAAUCGGAAAUCAAGGCUAUGGUGAUUUUCAGGCACUGGCACAUGGGAAGCUUUGCUAAUUGACACUUGUGGUUUGUGCAAAAACAACAAAGAUGUGCUUUCCCCGUCAGACAAUGUAAACAAAUUAUCUUUGUAUUCUUGUGUAUGUGUAUGUGUGUUGUUCCUACAUGGGAGCACACGUGCUCCCAUGUAUGUGCAUGUGGAGACCAGAGAUUGACAUCCAGUAGCUUCCUUGAUCUUUCUCCACCUUUAGAUGCUGAGGAAAAAUCAUUCCCUUGAACCUAGAGCUUUCCAAUUCGAUUAGUCCAGCCAACUGGCCUGCUUUGAGGUCCCCCAUCUCUGCAGGCAUCAGCAUGGGUUAAAGGGCUCCAGACGCCAGCUCUCACAUUGCACCGCCCAUGCCAUCUCCUCAGCCCCUGUGUUCUGGCACUUUCCUAGAAGGAAAGCUCUGCUUUUGUUGUUAAAACCAUCACUCUUUCCCCACCAUUCCCUGCUCUCAUUACUUGUUGCUUAGACAGAAGCAGCUUAAGGAAGGGAGAAGCUAUUUUGGCUUAUAAUUUGAGGACACCGUUCAUCAUGGCAGAAACAUCCUGGUGACAAAAACUUGAGGCAGCUAGUUAGUUUCAAUGCAUAGUGGGGAAGCACAGAAUGAAGAGGACUGUACUCAGUUCUGCUCCCCCACUUCUGCUCAGUCUGGGACCCCAGCACAUAGAAUGGCACUACCCAUAUUUAAGGCUGCUCUUCCCAUUACAGUGAACCCAGUCUAGAGACUCCCUCAUAGGCAGACCCAGAAGUCUGUCUUCUAGCUGAUUCCAGAUCCUAUCAUGUUCACAAAUCAAUAUUAACCACUAUAACUGCAAGAAGUCCAGCCCUUUGAAGGUCUCCGGAAGUGUCCUCAUAUGGUAGCCAGAAGCUGAGUCUGAACACUGGCAGAUUCUCAGGGACUGUCCUGACAGAGCCAGUUCUUCCUCCUGCAGAAGGUGUGACUUGCUCAGCAGAGCUGGGGACCCAUUGACAGUCAAAGGCCCAUUGCACUAUUAACAGCUUGUACUAGAAAUAUUAACAUAAAUUAGCUUGAGUAGAGACCAAUCUCCAUUUUUCUCACCAUUUACAAAUCUCUAUAAAUAACUGAUAAAUGUGGUUAAUGAAACACUGAAGCUGGUGCCAAUAUGGUUCUCAUGGCGAUGUCACAUGUGCCAUAGAAAGGAAGUCACUCUGAUUUAAGACUGAGGUAAUGCUAGAAACAAAAAUUGCAACAAAAUGUCAAAUGUUGUCAUAGGUCUCCCUCCCCCACAGCACCCCAUUGUUGUGGAAAGGCAGGUCCCUGAGAACUUCCUGUAUUUGAUGUCAGUGAGAGCUGAGCUGAAGAACAACCAUAGGGAAGGAGAGCAUGCCACUCCCAGGAUGCAUUUAGACUCCCAUUGUCCCUAAGACUCACAUUAAAGAGAUGUGAGUCUCUGAUUUCAGUGGGGUUGCUUCAAGUUUCUCUCCAUUUAAUUUGAUACUGGCUCUUGGUUUGCAGUAAAUUGCUUUUAUUACGU